GCGAACGUAGCUCAGUUGGUUAGAGUGUCAGACUGUGAAUCUGAAUGUCGUGGGUUCGAUCCCCAUCGUUCGCCCCA
RNAcentral lists this transfer RNA (77 nucleotides) under Candidatus Altimarinota bacterium. RNAcentral describes it as "tRNA-His". It matches the Rfam family "tRNA". From Rfam's summary of the family: Transfer RNA (tRNA) molecules are approximately 80 nucleotides in length. Their secondary structure includes four short double-helical elements and three loops (D, anti-codon, and T loops). Lineage: Bacteria; Candidatus Altimarinota. The record is from RNAcentral.